RNAcentral lists this long non-coding RNA (1232 nucleotides) under Malus domestica (apple). RNAcentral's name for it is "long non-coding RNA (MDOM_LNC016917)". The record is from RNAcentral. Lineage: Eukaryota; Viridiplantae; Streptophyta; Magnoliopsida; Rosales; Rosaceae.
AUCAAUUCAUAUUACAAAUAUAUUCAUGGCUUUGAAUUAACCUCUAGCCAAAAUAAAUUUAGCUACACAUUAUUCUAAAAUUAAACCAAAAAUUAAUCAUAAGUUGGAAAGAUUUAACCGAGAGAAUAAGAUCUGCUGCGUUUCUGUGCUUCUGCCCUCACUCCCUGCGUCACUUCUCUCCUGCCAUGCCGCACUGUCCUUUCACUGCUCCAAACUGCCAAAGGCAGCAACCCGUGGUCCUGCACGUACUGACUUCUCUUCCCCCCAGCUGCCAAAUGGCAGCCCUCUCCCCGUGCUCUCUUUGGCUCUCCCCCGCAGCUUCUUGCUGCUCUCUUUGACCUCGCUGCCAAAGGCAGCUGUCUGCCUCUCCCCGUGCUCUCUUUAUUUUAUUCUUCUUUCUUCUCUUCCUUUGCAAACAUCAUAAUAAUGAGAGGGACAAACAUUGUUUAUAAAAUGUAAAUUAGUAUUAUCAUGUGACAAUAAAGGGUAAAUUUGCAUAACAGAUCCUAUAAACACAAAUAACGUAAAUAGCUCAAAAAUAUAAGGAACUAACCAAGAAAAGACGAGUGAAUUUGAAGUAAAAAAAUAUAUAAAUAUGAUCCGAUCAAAUACCCCCAUACUUAGCUUUUGCUAGUCCUCGAGCAAAACAAAGAAAACAUGAAAAAGUACUAACAUGAAAAACAUUAGUUUCCCCCUAUGUGACCUUCAUAGAAUUUCAUUUGAGAACACAAAUCAUCAAGAACCAUAGCUAGCACCAAACAAGUUAAUCCAAGUUCAUCUUCCUUAUUCAAAUAUUAGCAGUAAUCUUUGAAUCAUCCUUGAAGGGUAGUGUGUGAGAUAGCCAUGCUAAUGCAAUUUCAAGUUUUUAUUUUUAAAAUCAUCAUAUGCAAACUAGUAACCUUCUCACGGGAUAUACACUCAAUCACAUAUGUGUUUAGUUUUAGUGUGUUUCGCUCAAAGAAACAAAUGUAAAAUUUCUACCAUAAGCUUGCAUAAAGAUCACUUCUCCACAGUCAUAAUUGCAAAACUUAAAUCAAGAGGACUUUUAUUGGAUGUAAUGAGGCUUAGGGAUAGGGUUAUUGAAACGAAAGAAUAGGAAAACACAAGUUCCAAGCUACAUUGCAAGCAAUUCUUUUGUCUAGAUUUAUAAGAACUCAAGCUCUCCAACGAUGCGAUCAAUUAUAUUUACAAUCACGGUUGGUUGUUGGCAAAGAUGCGUGAAUUUUGCAGAG